Molecule: ribosomal RNA, 301 nt
Filed under: uncultured bacterium
Lineage: Bacteria
Description: partial 16S ribosomal RNA
Rfam family: Bacterial small subunit ribosomal RNA
Source: RNAcentral
CAGCAGCCACGGGAAUACAGAGGGUGCGAGCGUUAAUCGGAUUUACUGGGCGUAAAGCGUGUGUAGGUUGUUGUUCAAGUCAGUUGUGAAAUCCCUGGGCUCAACCUGGGAACUGCUUCUGAGACUGAACGACUAGAGUACGGUAGAGGGUGGUGGAAUUUCCGGUGUAGCGGUGAAAUGCGUAGAUAUCGGAAGGAACAUCAAUGGCGAAGGCAGCCACCUGGGCCUGUACUGACACUGAGACACGAAAGCGUGGGGAUCAAACAGGAUUAGAUACCUGUGUAGUCCCUGUCUCUUAUAA